Long non-coding RNA from Oreochromis aureus, 269 nucleotides. RefSeq lists it as uncharacterized. Lineage: Eukaryota; Metazoa; Chordata; Actinopteri; Cichliformes; Cichlidae. The transcript has 3 exons. The record is from RefSeq and is a predicted model, not a curated record.
AUUUCAAAGUAUUGUCUAUCCAUACUAUCACCUGCAAUUGGAUUCAUUCUAUGUGGCAUCAUGUUGGCUGUUUUCCUCUGCAGAAAAGGUAUGACGAGGACACUGAAUCAGGAUCCAGUCGAGGAUCAAUUUCCUCCUGAGUCAGAAGAGGGUACCACUGCUCAUUUGAAAAAUAACACAUGGAGGAGUCAAUAUACAGAGUUGCAGAAUUCAAUCUAUGGUCACUUCUGAGCUGACGAGACAUCCACAUACAGUUACACCGAGACUUG